UACGUAGGGUGCAAGCGUUGCUCGGAAUCACUGGGCGUAAAGCGCACGUAGGCGGCUUUCUAAGUCAGGGGUGAAAUCCUGGAGCUCAACUCCAGAACUGCCUUUGAUACUGGCGAUCUCGAGUUCGGGAGAGGUGAGUGGAACUGCGAGUGUAGAGGUGAAAUGCGUAGAUAUCGGAAGGAACGCCGGUGGCGAAAGCGGCGUGCUGGACCUUUUCUGACGCUGAGGCGCGAAAGCCAGGGGAGCAAACGGG
This 253-nucleotide ribosomal RNA is filed under the name uncultured bacterium. RNAcentral's name for it is "partial 16S ribosomal RNA". It matches the Rfam family "Bacterial small subunit ribosomal RNA", at positions 524 to 776 of the family's 1533-position model. The record is from RNAcentral.